GUUUGUCUUGAAUUUUGACCUCAGUAUUGCUGUUUUUCAGCUUUUGUGUAAGGCCGGCACUUGCCGCCUUUAACCAAUAGCUCACUCAGGUGGCACAUUCCAGAGCCGCCUGUCAGUGAGAAUUACUGAGACAGAAUUUAAGGCUUGUAUACAUUCAUGUUGAUGCAGUUUUCUGUUGUUGUGUAAGGCAGUUAUGCUGCCUUUUA
This is a non-coding RNA of Paramuricea clavata, 206 nucleotides long. Lineage: Eukaryota; Metazoa; Cnidaria; Anthozoa; Malacalcyonacea; Plexauridae. The record is from the annotation of a GenBank genome assembly.